GCCAGGCGUAGUGGCGAACGCCUGUAAUCCCAGCUACUCGGAGGCUGAGGCAGGAGACUUACUUGAACCUGGGAGGCGGAGGUUGCAGUGAGCAGAGAUCGCGCCACCGCACUCCAGCCUGGGUAACAGAGCAAGACUCAGUCUCAA
This is an unclassified non-coding RNA of Pongo abelii (Sumatran orangutan), 147 nucleotides long. It matches the Rfam family "Metazoan signal recognition particle RNA". From Rfam's summary of the family: The signal recognition particle (SRP) is a universally conserved ribonucleoprotein. It is involved in the co-translational targeting of proteins to membranes. The record is from Ensembl. NCBI's taxonomy places the organism in Eukaryota, Metazoa, Chordata, Mammalia, Primates, Hominidae.